Acanthopagrus latus (yellowfin seabream) is the source of this 782-nucleotide long non-coding RNA. RefSeq lists it as uncharacterized. The transcript is spliced from 3 exons. The record is from RefSeq and is a predicted model, not a curated record. Lineage: Eukaryota; Metazoa; Chordata; Actinopteri; Spariformes; Sparidae.
UAACUGUUACAAUGGCUAGCAAGCUAUGCUAGCUGCUCACCAGCGAGUCCUCCCAUCGGAGCUAACGUGCUAACUGCGUGACAAAAGUUCCUGACAGCUAGCAAAUUAGCUAAAAAUGACUAACAGCCCAUUGUGACACAUCAGACUACCAUGUUCACAACGACUAUAUGGUUGGUUAGGCACCUUGUUUUAGACAAUGUAUCACACUCAAAUUAGCAGCAAACACGUCCCACUGAGAAAGUUACUGGUUAACUGCCUUCAACUCAGCACUCUUUAGGCUAGUCACCAAGGGCGUAGCCAUCAUUUCAGAAGUGAGGGGGACAGAUUGUUCAGAGGUGAUUCAUUAUCCUCUCGCAUUCAAUUGCACCUCUCCUUAGUGGCUAAAGAACCACAUAACCACAAACAGCACAGCACCAGGGGACCGACUUCAUGUCUUUAUAAUUAUACACUGUCAAAAUCUAAAGCUGCCAAACUCUGGUUGAGUUGACACAGAAUGACCCUCAAGCAUCUGCAGGGUUUGCCUUCUGGCCAGCAGCACAGACAGGCAGAGGGGAUAACACACUCUCCACAGAGAGACACACUCAGCAAGCACCAGCGACUUACUGUAAUUCAUAUACUGAACGUGGUGGGUGCUGUGUAAGGUGCAGACCAGCGCAUCAGGGGCAGUUUGGGGUUCAACUUGUAACUUGCCCAAGGGCACUUUGAUAAUGCAGACCAGGGGAAUCGAACGAGUGACCUUCAGAUAAGAAGACAUUGGCUCUACCCCUGAGCCACACCCACGU